This 450-nucleotide long non-coding RNA is filed under the name Aotus nancymaae (Ma's night monkey). RNAcentral describes it as "lncRNA (ENSANAG00000039082.1)". Lineage: Eukaryota; Metazoa; Chordata; Mammalia; Primates; Aotidae. The record is from RNAcentral.
CUCUUAGCAAGGUGUCGUGGAGAGCUGGAUUUCCAAGAAGGACCUCAGAGCUGGAAAGGCCCUGGAUCUUGCAUGUGGCUUUUCUUCAAUGAUAAAGGCAGCCCGUGACGGGCAAGGAGAGGUGGUGCCAGAAAUGGUAGACUGCGUGGAAGUCUAAGACCCAGGGCUGAAGCUUGUCAGAAACACAGAGAAGGCUUGGGAGCAGGGAAAGGGCUUGGAGGAGACGUCGGUCAGGGGGAAAUACGCAGCUCAAUGCAAGAAGCCACAUUUAAGACUGCGCAUCUCAAUGCCUGAAGUAAAAACCACGGUCACAAGGGAUGUGUGUGGAAUGGAAGAACACUGGAAAAACAAGAACCUGACCUAAAUGGAUGGCCAAAUACCGCAGCUGCACAUGCAGGGUAAGCCUAUCGAUGUGCUGUGCACAUCACCCUGCCCAUCUUCCAGGGGCUU